RNAcentral lists this ribosomal RNA (497 nucleotides) under uncultured bacterium. Its description in RNAcentral is "partial 16S ribosomal RNA". It matches the Rfam family "Bacterial small subunit ribosomal RNA", at positions 28 to 507 of the family's 1533-position model. The record is from RNAcentral.
GAUGAACGCUGGCGGCGUGCCUAACACAUGCAAGUCGAACGAACGGACGAUAAGCUUUUGUUCCUGAUGUUAGCGGCUGACGGGCGGGUAACACGUGGAUAACCAACCUAUUUGUCGUGGAUAAUUUCGUGAAACCGGAGCUAAUACCGCCUCAUACUAUGUACCGCAUGGUUCAAAAGUUCUACACGGCUUUCCCGUCACUUAUAGCUGGUUCCGCGCUGCAUUAGCUAGUUGGUAAGGUAACGGCUCACCAAGGCGACGAUGCGUAGCCGAUCUGAGAGGAUGAUCGGCCACACUGGAACUGAGACACGGUCCAGACUCCUACGGGAGGCAGCAGUGGGGAAUAUUGCACAAUGGGCGCAAGCCUGACCGAGCAACACCGCGUGAGUGAUGAAGGUCUUCGGGUUGUAAAGCCCUGUUGUUGGGAAAGAACAGAUGUAGAAGAAACCGUGCCCAUCCUGACGGUACCUAAUGAAAAAGCAACGGCUAACUACGUG